ACGGGUGCGUAACGCGUGGGAAUCUGCCCCUUGGUUCGGAAUAACAGUUGGAAACGACUGCUAAUACCGGAUGAUGACGUAAGUCCAAAGAUUUAUCGCCGAGGGAUGAGCCCGCGUAGGAUUAGGUAGUUGGUGUGGUAAAGGCGCACCAAGCCGACGAUCCUUAGCUGGUCUGAGAGGAUGAUCAGCCACACUGGGACUGAGACACGGCCCAGACUCCUACGGGAGGCAGCAGUGGGGAAUAUUGGACAAUGGGCGAAAGCCUGAUCCAGCAAUGCCGCGUGAGUGAUGAAGGCCUUAGGGUUGUAAAGCUCUUUUACCCGGGAUGAUAAUGACAGUACCGGGAGAAUAAGCUCCGGCUAACUCCGUGCCAGCAGCCGCGGUAAUACGGAGGGAGCUAGCGUUAUUCGGAAUUACUGGGCGUAAAGCGCACGUAGGCGGCUUUGUAAGUAAGAGGUGAAAGCCCAGAGCUCAACUCUGGAAUUGCCUUUUAGACUGCAUCGCUUGAACCAUGGAGAGGUCAGUGGAAUUCCGAGUGUAGAGGUGAAAUUCGUAGA
This 557-nucleotide ribosomal RNA is filed under the name uncultured bacterium. RNAcentral's name for it is "bacterial SSU rRNA". It matches the Rfam family "Bacterial small subunit ribosomal RNA", at positions 102 to 694 of the family's 1533-position model. The record is from RNAcentral.